UGUGUACUCCCUCCGUUCCAAAAUACUUGACUUCCAUUUGUCCAAAAAUGGAUGUACCUAUAUACUAAAACAUGUCUAGAUAGAUAUAUAUUUUGACAAAUAGAAGGCAUGUAUUUGUGUAACGGAGGGAGUAGAAU
Triticum aestivum (bread wheat) is the source of this 137-nucleotide non-coding RNA. Lineage: Eukaryota; Viridiplantae; Streptophyta; Magnoliopsida; Poales; Poaceae. The record is from Rfam.